UGGGGAAUUUUGGACAAUGGGGGAAACCCUGAUCCAGCCAUCCCGCGUGUGCGAUGAAGGCCUUCGGGUUGUAAAGCACUUUUGGCAGGAAAGAAACGUCAUGGGUUAAUACCCCGUGAAACUGACGGUACCUGCAGAAUAAGCACCGGCUAACUACGUGCCAGCAGCCGCGGUAAUACGUAGGGUGCAAGCGUUAAUCGGAAUUACUGGGCGUAAAGCGUGCGCAGGCGGUUCGGAAAGAAAGAUGUGAAAUCCCAGAGCUCAACUUUGGAACUGCAUUUUUAACUACCGGGCUAGAGUGUGUCAGAGGGAGGGGGAAUUCCGCGUGUAGCAGUGAAAUGCGUAGAUAUGCGGAGGAACACCGAUGGCGAAGGCAGCAUCCUGGGAUAACACUGACGCUCAUGCACGAAAGCGUGGGGAGCAAACAGG
Molecule: ribosomal RNA, 429 nt
Filed under: Acidobacteriota bacterium
Lineage: Bacteria; Pseudomonadati; Acidobacteriota
Description: Acidobacteria bacterium partial 16S ribosomal RNA
Rfam family: Bacterial small subunit ribosomal RNA
Source: RNAcentral